UACAUUUAUUCUCUUUCUGAAUGGGAUUCUGACUCAUGCUCGGUUGAGUCUGUGGAUUGAGAACUCUUGGGUAAGGAGUGCUGACUAUUCAUGAAUCCUCACCAUUUUCAUGAGGCAACAGAGGCACAGAGAGGUCUAGAGACUUACUCUGGGUCGCUCAGCAGGUGAGCCACAAGGCUGGGAUCCUUGACCAUUUCUGGACCUGUCUGCUCCCCAUCCUCAUCAGGAGUCCCACUCAGGGCCUCAGGACUCAGAGAUGCUGAGAGUCGGUCUCCUCUCCUCAUUCCAUGAUGACUGCAGCUGGGAGCUCUGUUUUCUCUGUAUUUCCUUUCAGUUUAUAUGACUGAAUGUUUGGUCAUAUUUCAAUGUGCUCAGAGAGUUGUACCUUUUUAUUUCUUGCAUAGGUGACCAUGGGGCAACAACAGAUGCUGAGAGAUCAAGGCAACCACCAAAUGAAAGCUGUGGCCCCAUCAAUGUGAAAAGUGAACCCAUGGAAGAGUCUGGCAUUUCACCGAAGGCACCAGCUGUGUCAGUGAAGGAAGAGUCAGAAGACCCUAAUUACUGUGUCUAUAAUGUGCAAGAAAACCGCUGCUCUUCUGCAAGCCGUGAAGUAAUAGGAGCAGAGUUACCAAUGGAAGGUUAGAAAAGUGAAGCUUUCUUUUUCUCUCCCUCCCUCCCUCUCUCAAUUUCUCUCCUUCCCUCUUCUCUCUCUCUCCCUCUCCCCUGUCCCUCCCUCUAUUUUGGAGUUUGCAGUAUUUUGUAGAGAACACAGUCUUAAACAUGUAUGUUUGAAAAUAAACAGUGACUUCCUGACUUGCCUGUCUCA
This 826-nucleotide long non-coding RNA is filed under the name Castor canadensis (American beaver). Its description in RNAcentral is "lncRNA (ENSCCNG00000031438.1)". The record is from RNAcentral. Lineage: Eukaryota; Metazoa; Chordata; Mammalia; Rodentia; Castoridae.